AUAUGGCUGCUAUUUCUAGCAGUUUAAGCAACCACAAACAAGUGAUAGCUUCUUCAUUAACUCGCAUCGUUUCCAUACUUGACACCGUUGUGUCAUCCUUAAAAGCAUUGAAGUAUCAGAUCACUGGACUGUAGCUGUUGUUUCUAGCAGAUGAAGCAACCACAAGUUGAGUCUCCCUCUCUCUCUCUCGUCGGCUUCUAUCGAUUCUAUGUUGAUUCGCUGCUGCGUCAUCCUUAACGAAUCCUUAAGUCUCAGACAUCACACGACUGUAACAAAAAGAGAAAGGGGGACCGAGUUCGGUGUUCACCGGUUUGAGGACUUGAAGCAGACGGCCAUGGUGCACGCCUUCAUCAUCCACACACUUCUGCCAGGUUCGAGCCUUGUGCUGCAUUCGUCGACAUUCCGCCAGGAUCCUUUGACUUCGUACGAAAUCAAGGAGUCGGGAAGCCGAUGGCAUUGCGUCAGGCAGGCCCAGUGGCAGUAUGUCGCCGAUGUGGUUCACGGCGAAUACCAAUUCCGAAGAACCGUUUCGGGACGAUCUUUGGACGAGGAUUUGGCCAGAGCGACCAACAUCGACAAUGGCUUGGGGUUACCCGAACUCGAGUGCGGGGUCCUCAGAUUGUCCGAACACGCUCCCUAUGCCGACGAGAAGGUCAUCGUCUGGUACGGAGCUGGAACCCUGGCCUUCAGUUUAGUCUGUGAUAAAACCGAGAACCGACUCAUCGCCGAACUCAUCCUCAAGCACAUCGUUCGAUAUCUUCAGGAAUAUCUGCUGGUGUUUAGCCAACCGUCAGAGAUUCUAAACAAAGCCGACUGUAUCAUUCAGAUUCUACAGCAGUUAAUACCAGAUGGCUUGUUAUUAUUUAGGUGUCAACGUGUUAUGAGACAACUUGAAAAAGAACUUGAUAGCUCAAUGAAACAAGUGGACUAAGGUGUCCGAUUUAAUGGCAGGUGUUUUUCAAUAUCAAUAUUUGACAGCCACACACAUACACGCAGACACACACACAUGUACACACACACACACACACACACACACACACAUUAAAUAUUUAUACAUAAAAGCACUGUAACAUUCUAUGGGCUGUGCAAUACCAAAUACAUAAUUAAACCAAUAUUUAACCAAAUAUGAUUAUAAAUAUUUUAUGAAUAAGAAAAAAUUCAUAUUUAAAUUAAUUUUAUGAAGAAAGCAAAUUUUCACCAAAGAUGAAUUUGAAAAUAUAAAUUAUAAGGAAUAUAAAUGAGUGUAUAUUGGGUCAUAUAUUACUUAAAGAAGAACAAAUUAAUUAAAAGAAA
Molecule: RNA transcript, 1293 nt
Organism: Octopus sinensis (East Asian common octopus)
Lineage: Eukaryota; Metazoa; Mollusca; Cephalopoda; Octopoda; Octopodidae
Exons: 3
Source: RefSeq, a predicted model, not a curated record